UACGUAGGGGGCAAGCGUUGUCCGGAAUUACUGGGCGUAAAGCGUGCGCAGGCGGCUUUGCAAGACAGAUGUGAAAUCCCCGGGCUUAACCUGGGAACUGCAUUUGUGACUGCAUGGCUAGAGUGCGGCAGAGGGGGAUGGAAUUCCGCGUGUAGCAGUGAAAUGCGUAGAUAUGCGGAGGAACACCGAUGGCGAAGGCAAUCCCCUGGGCCUGCACUGACGCUCAUGCACGAAAGCGUGGGGAGCAAACAGG
RNAcentral lists this ribosomal RNA (253 nucleotides) under uncultured bacterium. RNAcentral describes it as "partial 16S ribosomal RNA". It matches the Rfam family "Bacterial small subunit ribosomal RNA", at positions 524 to 776 of the family's 1533-position model. The record is from RNAcentral.